This is a non-coding RNA of Solanum lycopersicum (tomato), 436 nucleotides long. Lineage: Eukaryota; Viridiplantae; Streptophyta; Magnoliopsida; Solanales; Solanaceae. The record is from RefSeq and is a predicted model, not a curated record.
UAAAACCCAAAAGCUCUCACCUCUUUCUGCUUUCUCUCUCUCCAAUUCCUCCAUUGAAAAAGGAAGAAAACAUGAAGAAGAAGGUCAAUUUCUCUAGGAUUUCACUUCAAUUUCCUUGAUUAAGCUUCAAUAAGGUGGUGAUGGCUAGAGGAAGUCUUCUAGGUGAAGAUCUUGGAUAGAACUUCUAAGUUCCAGAAGAGGGAUCCUUAUGAUUCAUGGAUUUCCCUAUGUGAAGUUCCUAUAAUAUAAUGUAAUAGCUUAGAAUUAUAUAUUAUGUUGUGAAGGAUCAUGUCCCUAUUCUAUUAUAUUAUAUUGAAUUGUGUCUUAAGAUGGAAAAGAGACAUUACAGUCUAACUAUGUAUUAUUAUAUUAUAUACAUAUAUAAUGUAAUGUUAUAGCAUAGGAUGUGGUAUGAAAAGUUUAAAUUUUUUUUCUA